CGUAUAACGUUCUUGUCUUUUUAGCAUAUAAUCGAUAACGUAGAUAACGUUAUCGAUUAUAUGCUAAAAAGACAAGAACAAUUUUUAG
Molecule: microRNA precursor, 88 nt
Filed under: Atta cephalotes
Lineage: Eukaryota; Metazoa; Arthropoda; Insecta; Hymenoptera; Formicidae
Description: microRNA mir-137
Source: RNAcentral